AAGUCGUAACAAGGUUUCCGUAGGUGAACCUGCGGAAGGAUCAUUACCAAAUCCAAAAUACCCAACCCCAUGUGAACUAUUGUCUGUCUGUCUUUGGGGGAGCAUUAUGGAAAAAAAACCUUUGGGUUUUCUUCUCUCUUUGUUCCCCCAUAUUUUAUGAAACCACUUUUAAUCUUAACGUUGGAAUAAUAACUUUAUUAAUAAUAAAUAAAGGACAACUUUUAACGGUGGAUCUCUUGGCUCGU
This 245-nucleotide unclassified non-coding RNA is filed under the name fungal sp. RNAcentral describes it as "partial internal transcribed spacer region". The stretch from base 1 to 46 matches the Rfam family "Eukaryotic small subunit ribosomal RNA", at positions 1786 to 1831 of the family's 1831-position model. The record is from RNAcentral. Lineage: Eukaryota; Fungi.